UAUUGAAUUUUUUUUUCUAUUUCUACUGUUAAAAAUGAGUAUGACUGAUGAAAUAACCAAACAUCUACACAUGACGCGCCAUGUGUACCUCAUGCUAGUGUAAAGGAACCAACUUUUAAUAGUAAAAAUGAAAGAAAUUUUUAAUA
Gossypium arboreum is the source of this 146-nucleotide non-coding RNA. The record is from Rfam. NCBI's taxonomy places the organism in Eukaryota, Viridiplantae, Streptophyta, Magnoliopsida, Malvales, Malvaceae.